UAAAUCCUACGGGGGGCAGCAGUGAGGAAUAUUGGUCAAUGGGCUUACGCCUGAACCAGCCAAGUCGCGUGAGGGAAGACUGCCCUAUGGGUUGUAAACCUCUUUUGUCAGGGAGCAACGCCGGCUACGUGUAGCCGGACUGAGAGAACCUGAAGAAAAAGCAUCGGCUAACUCCGUGCCAGCAGCCGCGGUAAUACGGAGGAUGCGAGCGUUAUCCGGAUUUAUUGGGUUUAAAGGGUGCGUAGGCGGAAUGCAAAGUCAGCGGUAAAAUCGCGGGGCUAAACCUAG
This 288-nucleotide ribosomal RNA is filed under the name uncultured bacterium. RNAcentral describes it as "partial 16S ribosomal RNA". It matches the Rfam family "Bacterial small subunit ribosomal RNA", at positions 333 to 617 of the family's 1533-position model. The record is from RNAcentral.